UACACUGGACCUAGACGGUGACCUGGCGGCAGGCGAGGGAAACACCUGCGCCAACCCUGCUUGCAGGACCCGGGCCAUGCACCUUACCAAUGAGGUCUACCGCCUCCAGGGCGCUCUGGCGGAUGCCAAGGUGAGUGAACGAAAAGUUGGCUGUUAUGUUAAACUGGUAAUCUAAUGACAGUGCUGUAAGGUCAAUUAGGUAAGACAUAUUUAGCAAGAACCACUCUUUUUUCCCCAUGCAGAGGCAGCUGCAGCAGCACCAGCCGCAACAGGCCUCCUCUCCGCCGGAACCGCGGCAUGGGCACGGGCAGGGCCUUAGGUUGCGCGCCUCGGCUUCCGCCCCCUCGCGCACCUCCCCUAUCGCUCCCCUCGAGCUCCAGCUCCUCAUCAGCGGACGAGGAGGGCGAAGAACAGCGGGAACAGGGGCACGGGCAGGGCCUUAGGUUGCGCGCCUCGGCUUCCGCCCCCUCGCGCACCUCCCCUAUCGCUCCCCUCGAGCUCCAGCUCCUCAUCAGCGGACGAGGAGGGCGAAGAACAGCGGGAACAGGGGCAGGGACAGCGCCGUAGGUCACGCGCCUCGGCUUCCGCCCCCUCGCGCGCCUCCCCUACCGCCUCCUCAGAGGAGAAGAGCGAGGAGCCCCAUGCCCAGCCCCCGGAGCACCAGGCCCAGCCCCCGGAGCCCCAGAGGAGCCCGCAGCAGCCUGAGGUGGACACACGGGGGACUAAACAGAAUCUAACGUUUUCCCCGGCUAGUGAGGAGCUGACAGAAACAGAGGCCCCUGUGCCGAAAAAGAAGUCAGAGAAGAGCAAGAGGACAAAGGAGGCAAUUUCUUCUCCCUCUGCCCGUGCUUUCUCUGACACCGAAAAGUCGCCCAAGAAGAAGCUCUCCGCUAUGGAGACGGCCUUCCAAGGCUUGGCCCCCUGCUUGGCUGGGAAAAGUAAGGCCUCCAAGCUGAGGAACAGUCCCUUGGGCACCUCCAUUGAAUCCUACCUGGAGGAUUACUUCACUUUUAUCUUCUGCCCCAAGGGAAAGAGCAAAAUGCAGGAGAACGCAGUUUCUAAGCUGAGCCGGGCAAAGGUAUUUGUUAAAUACCUUUUGCUCGGCUCAGACUCGUCUGCAUCCUGGAACUGGCAGUUCCUGUACAACAUCCCCCUGCUGAAGUCCUACCCCGCAGUCCUCUGCAAAUUUGGCCUUUCGCCGACCACCAUCAGCCUCUACUUGGGCCAGGCCGUCUCAUUUGUGGAGUACUUCAGGGCCAUGCUGCCCAGCCACUCGCGGCUCCACCGUGGGCAAACCAAAAUCCUGGUCCUCAAGCUCAAGAAGCUGAGCAGGGACAUCGGGCGGACCGUCCUGGGACACCAGCUGCUGACCAAGCAAAAAAAGGUCUCCAAGCUGGUGUCCAAGGAGGACCUCCGCCUUUGCCAGCUCCUUGCUCGGGAGAAAAUCCCCUCUCUGCUCGAGGACAUUGAGAAGGCGCCGGCGAGGGACCCCAAGACCCGCUACAGGUUCUUUGGCUACCUCGCAGCCUACCUGUCUGUCAUUUAUGGCCACCGGACGGGGGUCCUCACCCGCAUGAGAGUCAAGGAGGUCCGGCAGGCCAUAGGUGACGACCAGACAGGUUAUCUAAUCAAUGUCCUCGAGCACAAGACUGCCCGGAAAUUCGGAACCGCCCAAAUCUACUUAGAGCCCGAAGAAUUUUUGUGGUUCCAGACCUGGCUCAGGCUGAGAGACAGAGCCGUUGCCAGGAAUGGCUAUUUAUUUUCGUCUCUUGGCCGUGGGGAGGCGAAAGACAUGGCCCGUUAUUUCAGCAAAGCCUGGAAAGAGAUGGGACUCUAG
Molecule: long non-coding RNA, 1837 nt
Filed under: Nothobranchius furzeri (turquoise killifish)
Lineage: Eukaryota; Metazoa; Chordata; Actinopteri; Cyprinodontiformes; Nothobranchiidae
Description: lncRNA (ENSNFUG00015009012.1)
Source: RNAcentral